UGGGGAAUUUUGGACAAUGGGCGAAAGCCUGAUCCAGCAAUGCCGCGUGUGUGAAGAAGGCCUUCGGGUUGUAAAGCACUUUUGUCCGGAAAGAAAUCCUUGGCUCUAAUACAGUCGGGGGAUGACGGUACCGGAAGAAUAAGCACCGGCUAACUACGUGCCAGCAGCCGCGGUAAUACGUAGGGUGCAAGCGUUAAUCGGAAUUACUGGGCGUAAAGCGUGCGCAGGCGGUUUGCUAAGACCGAUGUGAAAUCCCCGGGCUCAACCUGGGAACUGCAUUGGUGACUGGCAGGCUAGAGUAUGGCAGAGGGGGGUAGAAUUCCACGUGUAGCAGUGAAAUGCGUAGAGAUGUGGAGGAAUACCGAUGGCGAAGGCAGCCCCCUGGGCCAAUACUGACGCUCAUGCACGAAAGCGUGGGGAGCAAACAGGAUUAGAUACCCUGGUAGUCCACGCCCUAAACGAUGUCAACUAGUUGUUGGGGAUUCAUUUCCUUAGUAACGUAGCUAACGCGUGAAGUUGACCGCCUGGGGAGUACGGCCGCAAGAUUAAAACUUAAAUGAAUUGACGGGGUCAUAGCUGUUUCCU
RNAcentral lists this ribosomal RNA (585 nucleotides) under uncultured bacterium. Its description in RNAcentral is "partial 16S ribosomal RNA". It matches the Rfam family "Bacterial small subunit ribosomal RNA", at positions 355 to 1375 of the family's 1533-position model. The record is from RNAcentral.